CCUACGGGAGGCAGCAGUGGGGAAUAUUGCGCAAUGGGCGAAAGCCUGACGCAGCGACGCCGCGUGAGGGAUGAAGGCCUUCGGGUUGUAAACCUCUUUCAGCAGGGACGAAAUCAGACGGUACCUGCAGAAGAAGCACCGGCCAACUACGUGCCAGCAGCCGCGGUAAUACGUAGGGUGCAAGCGUUGUCCGGAAUUAUUGGGCGUAAAGAGCUCGUAGGCGGUUUGUCGCGUCGGCUGUGAAAACUCGGGGCUCAACCCCGAGCCUGCAGUCGAUACGGGCAGACUAGAGUGCUGUAGGGGAGACUGGAAUUCCUGGUGUAGCGGUGAAAUGCGCAGAUAUCAGGAGGAACACCGGUGGCGAAGGCGGGUCUCUGGGCAGUAACUGACGCUGAGGAGCGAAAGCGUGGGGAGCAAACAGGAUUAGAUACCCUGGUAGUCCACGCCGUAAACGGUGGGUGCUAGGUGUAGGUCGUAUUCCACGCGAUCUGUGCCGCNGCUACGCAUAGCACCCCGCCGUCGGGAGGUACGGCCGCGACGGACGUAAAACUUAAACUAGAAGUUAGACGGCGUGAGACGUCGCCGACGGACGACGACGAGGGAGGUUAGG
This 610-nucleotide ribosomal RNA is filed under the name uncultured bacterium. RNAcentral's name for it is "bacterial SSU rRNA". The stretch from base 1 to 518 matches the Rfam family "Bacterial small subunit ribosomal RNA", at positions 338 to 873 of the family's 1533-position model. The record is from RNAcentral.